This 497-nucleotide ribosomal RNA is filed under the name uncultured bacterium. Its description in RNAcentral is "partial 16S ribosomal RNA". It matches the Rfam family "Bacterial small subunit ribosomal RNA", at positions 28 to 507 of the family's 1533-position model. The record is from RNAcentral.
GAUGAACGCUGGCGGCGUGCCUAAUACAUGCGAGUCGAGCGAACAGACGAGGAGCUUGCUCCUCUGACGUUAGCGGCGGACGGGUGAGUAACACGUGGAUAACCUACCUAUAAGACUGGGAUAACUUCGGGAAACCGGAGCUAAUACCGGAUAAUCUAUUGAACCGCAUGGUUCAAUAGUGAAAGACGGUUUUGCUGUCACUUAUAGAUGGAUCCGCGCCGCAUUAGCUAGUUGGUAAGGUAACGGCUUACCAAGGCAACGAUGCGUAGCCGACCUGAGAGGGUGAUCGGCCACACUGGAACUGAGACACGGUCCAGACUCCUACGGGAGGCAGCAGUAGGGAAUCUUCCGCAAUGGGCGAAAGCCUGACGGAGCAACGCCGCGUGAGUGAUGAAGGUCUUCGGAUCGUAAAACUCUGUUAUUAGGGAAGAACAAAUGUGUAAGUAACUAUGCACGUCUUGACGGUACCUAAUCAGAAAGCCACGGCUAACUACGUG